UGCAAAACACUGCAACACAUUCAUUCAUAUUGCCACCCAAUUCCAUUUAUCAGAAUAUUAGAAGAUUUCCAUCCUGACAAAUUCCAAAAUGGACACUGACCAAAGUCAUACUCAAUUUCAAUUUGAAUUAGAGGGGCUACAACGUUUGCUGGUUCUAUCAGACCCAGAAUUUGAGAACAACCUAUUCACCAGCACACCAUCCGACUCACCAUCCACCAUAUCAACCAACCCAAUUUCGACUUCCACUCUCCCACAAUUCACCCCACCUGUUGACACACCAACCAACAUAUCCCAAAGUCCCAGCACAAUGGACACAACCACAACCUCCACCCAGAUCCAGCCUACAAGUACCCCAAUCCAGUCCCCAAAUGCCAUCCUAACCCCAACCUCAGCCAAAACCACCUUCACCCUAACAUUGCCAGCCGACAUGGGCCAACCCAGCAAUAUCCCAACCACAUCCCAACUAAUCAUACCACAAACCCCCCUAACACACCAAAUCACCACCACCACCACACCUUAACCACCUAUCACUUCCAAUAACACAACCACCAUGUUCAAUAAACUUGUCGAACUCCAUCACCGCAAGAAUGACCAUCAACGACAUUUGACCAUUCUCAACAAACACAUCACAAACCACACCACACCGGCUGGCCUCAACAUCAGCAUUCAACCCUGGGUCCAACUGUCACCAAAGCUCAAGGAAGCAUGGGACACUGGCAUCCAGAACUGCAUGUCCCACCUCACAGACAUCCUGCACCAUGCCAACACCACUCAGAGGAAUCAUCCAAAACUGAUGGGCAAAUCUCAUCACUUUCCACAAAACUGAACGACAAUCUCCCACAGGAGUUGUCUAGCACUAUCAUCCAUAUCGCAAGCACUCACAAACCACCAUCCAAACGCAAAACAACACCAAAGUCAAACACCAAACAUCAACCAAAGCGCCCCAAAACCACAGCAACCACUUCACAUCCCGCGAAACCUGAAAACAAGCAGGUCUCUCAGAAAUGGCCACAUCACCAACAACACAGGGAACCAUCACCUCCCACCUCCAAACCACCAUUAGGAGUACCACCUCCACCCAGCAACACUACACCAUUACACCCGCCAACGACCACAAUACCAGCUCUAACCGGCAUCAUGCAUUCCUCCAUCAAGCAACUACUGUUGGGGAAACAAACACAGUUCCACACCAUAUAAAACAUGUUCAUGAAUGGAAGACAAUAGAUUUUUCCUUCAUUAACAACCACCACCAAUUCAAUGUAAAUAGUCUAGGCCUGUACAUAUGAUAAUCCACACACUUCACAUAGUUUAAUUAAUACACAAUUGUCAAAUAAAGAUAUGCCGUUACAGAAUAUUCAUUAAAUUCAUGAACAUUAUAAAG
Molecule: long non-coding RNA, 1381 nt
Filed under: Paramuricea clavata
Lineage: Eukaryota; Metazoa; Cnidaria; Anthozoa; Malacalcyonacea; Plexauridae
Source: RNAcentral